Small nucleolar RNA from Trifolium pratense (red clover), 80 nucleotides. RefSeq annotates it as small nucleolar RNA Z199. The record is from RefSeq and is a predicted model, not a curated record. The transcript has a single exon. NCBI's taxonomy places the organism in Eukaryota, Viridiplantae, Streptophyta, Magnoliopsida, Fabales, Fabaceae.
AAAUCAUAUGAUGAGAAAAUAACUGCAACAAUAUGAUGGAUUAGUUUCCAUGAUUCCUAGUAUUUAAGUCUCUGAUGAUU